GCCGGACUGAGUGGCCGCGGUCCGGAGAGUGCCGCGGUGCUCGGCUGGGCCAGGCCCGGGGCCCGGCGCGCCCAGCGCGGGUUGGAGCGGCCGCCGCCGCAGCGCCGCGCCGAACGCCCAGGCUUCAGGCCCCGGUGGCAGCCCAGGCCCGGCGGGCGGCUCCAGGUUCCCGCGGGCGGCGCCUAUCAGGCCCGCGGGCCGCGGCCCGCGAGGGGGCGUCGCAGCGGCUCCCGCUGAGGAGGAGCGCGAGACGGCAAUCGUGAAGGGAGGGGGGAAAAAAGGCAAAAGCAAAUAACGUUAGGCCCCGACGCGGCUCUCCCAGGCGGCUUCCUGUCAGCUGCGUAGCCGCGCGGCGCCCAGCCCCGUGCGGAUGCGCCGCGCCAAACGCGGCCACCGUCCCUGCCGCCUCCACAGGCCGCGGCCGUUGCCCCCGGAGCACUGGACUCGCUGCAGCCGCGGCCUCAGUCAAGACAUAACAACUGACGUCGGCAUCGGGGCGGGGUCUCGGGAGGGGCGGGGUUAGAAGCCGCAGGGUGCAAGGGGAGAGAGGGGCUGCCGAAGGCUGGGCUGGGUAAGUGGUUUAACCUGUAGGAAAGACGGACACACCAGUGAAAGUAGACGUGCUGGAUAAGGGCAGCAUAUGGACACACGCCCUCUGUUGGUACAUGUGGACGUCUUUCCAGGAGGGUAAUCUACGAUGUGAGUCAGAAGAUCCCCACAAAUAUGUCAUCUUUGGUACAGGAAGCCUUCCUUAGGGAAUUUAUCUUGAGGAAAUUAUUGGACACAGAUGCAAAGAUGUGUAUAACCUUUUUGCCUUAAGGGCAGAGUUAAUAGAAAGAAAAACUCACAGGUGGUGAUUAGUCUUCAUUGCUAAGUUUGGAAUCACCUAGGAACAAAAGUAGUGGUAUAGCUGUGAGGGAGAUUCCAAAGAGAUUUAACUGAAAAAAAGAAAACCCAUCUUGAAUGUGGCUCCAUUCCGUGGGCUGGGGUCUUGAAUGGAAUAAACAAGAAAAGAAAAAAAAAGGAGAAGGAGCAGCAGCAGCAGCCAGUUGAGCACCUGCAUUCAUCACUCUGCUUCUUGGCUGUGGACAUAAGGAAAGUUGCCACCUCAAGCUUCUGCCCCCAUGUUUUUCCCCACCAUGAUGGACUGUCUGUACCUCCUUCAACUGUGAGCCAAAAAAUUAAAUUAAAUUAAAUUAAAAAACAC
Mastomys coucha (southern multimammate mouse) is the source of this 1207-nucleotide long non-coding RNA. RefSeq lists it as uncharacterized. The record is from RefSeq and is a predicted model, not a curated record. NCBI's taxonomy places the organism in Eukaryota, Metazoa, Chordata, Mammalia, Rodentia, Muridae. The transcript is spliced from 2 exons.